This 1327-nucleotide ribosomal RNA is filed under the name uncultured fungus. Its description in RNAcentral is "eukaryotic LSU rRNA". The stretch from base 540 to 1327 matches the Rfam family "Eukaryotic large subunit ribosomal RNA", at positions 1 to 649 of the family's 3401-position model. Lineage: Eukaryota; Fungi. The record is from RNAcentral.
AGUCGUAACAAGGUUUCCGUAGGUGAACCUGCGGAAGGAUCAUCAACAAAUCUAACUUAUGCCUGUCGCAAGACGGCAUAUAUACCAAUGUGAAUUGAAGAACGCAAGUUUUUCUAUUAAUUUUUGUUUUCGGACAAAAAUAUUAACGAGUUUUAAUAGAGUCUGUUAAAAAAAUAUAAUUAAAAACAACUUUUAACAAUGGAUCUCUUGGCUCUUGCAACGAUGAAGAACGCAGUGAAUUGCGAUAAGUAAUGUGAAUCGCAUCACCUGUGAAUCAUCAAAUCUUUGAACGCACCUUGCGCUUUUUGGGUCUACCGAAAAGCAUACCUGUUUGAGUAUCAGAAAGUACUCUACUUUUAUUAGUAGGAAUUGAGGUUUAGCUUUUUUUUUGGCUAUUCCUUGAAAUUGAGGUAGUGAUAUCGAGUAUACAAACUCUAGUCAAAAGUGCGGUAAGAAAAAGGUAGUUUUUCUCCCACUGAUACGACGAAGGGUGAGUUUAUUUGGUGCUAAAUUCACUAAAACUUUUUAUAUUGAACCUUUGAUCUCAAAUCAGGUAGGAUUACCCGCUGAACUUAAGCAUAUCAAUAAGCGGAGGAAAAGAAACUAACAAGGAUUCCCUCAGUAACGGCGAGUGAAGUGGGAUGAGCUCAAAUUUUAAAUCUGGGAGGCUUCCUCUCCGAAUUGUAAUUUAUAGAGACGUUUUCUGUGGUGGCAUUGGUAAAAGUUCCUUGGAACAGGACAUCAGAGAGGGUGAGAAUCCCGUAUUUGACCAUUGCUUAACUGCUAUACGAUACGUUCUCUAAGAGUCGAGUUGUUUGGGAAUGCAGCUCAAAAUGGGUGGUAAAUUUCAUCUAAAGCUAAAUAAUGGCAAGAGACCGAUAGCGAACAAGUACCGUGAGGGAAAGAUGAAAAGAACUUUGAAAAGAGAGUUAAAUAGUACGUGAAAUUGUUAAAAGGGAAACGAUUGAAACCAGUAUUUUUACUAGGAUUCAGCGUCCUUUAGCAGUAUUUUAUGCUUGAAGAGAGUCAAAUCCUUUUAGUAUGGCAUUUCUGUUAAAGGGCGUGCAUUUUCCUAGUAAAAAGUCAACAUCAGUUUUAUGUGUUGGAUAAAGCUUGGAGGAAGGUGACUUUGUUUACAAAGUUUUAUAGACUUCAUUCAAAACAACAUGUCGAGACUGAGGACUGCAGCGUAGCGCAAGCAUAUCUAGACCUACUUUAUUUUUAGCUGACUACUUUGGACAAUUUAUUGACCCGAGUAGUUCAGCUGAUGAUACGAGUAGUAUAGUUUCAUACGCUUAGGAUGUUGACGAAAUGGUUUUAAACGACC